This 253-nucleotide ribosomal RNA is filed under the name uncultured bacterium. Its description in RNAcentral is "partial 16S ribosomal RNA". It matches the Rfam family "Bacterial small subunit ribosomal RNA", at positions 524 to 776 of the family's 1533-position model. The record is from RNAcentral.
AACGUAGGGGGCCAGCGUUGCUCGGAAUUACUGGGCGUAAAGGGUCUGUAGGCGGUGCGGCAAGUCGGAAGUGAAAUCGCAGGGCUCAACUCUGCGGCUGCUCCCGAAACUGCCGUGCUCGAGUGUGAGAUAGGCGAGUGGAAUUGCAGGUGUAGCGGUGAAAUGCGUAGAUAUCUGCAGGAACAUCCGAGGCGAAAGCGGCUCGCUGGAUCACAACUGACGCUGAGAGACGAAAGCUAGGGGAGCAAACAGG